CCUGGGGAGUACGGCCGCAAGGUUAAAACUCAAAUGAAUUGACGGGGGCCCGCACAAGCGGUGGAGCAUGUGGUUUAAUUCGAUGCAACGCGAAGAACCUUACCUACUCUUGACAUCCAGAGAACUUAGCAGAGAUGCUUUGGUGCCUUCGGGAACUCUGAGACAGGUGCUGCAUGGCUGUCGUCAGCUCGUGUUGUGAAAUGUUGGGUUAAGUCCCGCAACGAGCGCAACCCUUAUCCUUUGUUGCCAGCGGUUAGGCCGGGAAC
This 266-nucleotide ribosomal RNA is filed under the name Enterobacter cancerogenus. RNAcentral's name for it is "partial 16S ribosomal RNA". It matches the Rfam family "Bacterial small subunit ribosomal RNA", at positions 872 to 1138 of the family's 1533-position model. RNAcentral also lists the same sequence under 5 other names. Lineage: Bacteria; Pseudomonadati; Pseudomonadota; Gammaproteobacteria; Enterobacterales; Enterobacteriaceae. The record is from RNAcentral.